This 468-nucleotide ribosomal RNA is filed under the name uncultured bacterium. RNAcentral's name for it is "partial 16S ribosomal RNA". It matches the Rfam family "Bacterial small subunit ribosomal RNA", at positions 28 to 507 of the family's 1533-position model. The record is from RNAcentral.
GACGAACGCUGGCGGCGUGCUUAACACAUGCAAGUCGAACGGAAAGGCCCUGCUUUUGUGGGGUGCUCGAGUGGCGAACGGGUGAGUAACACGUGAGUAACCUGCCCUUGACUUUGGGAUAACUUCAGGAAACUGGGGCUAAUACCGGAUAGGAGCUCCUGCUGCAUGGUGGGGGUUGGAAAGUUUCGGCGGGUGGGGAUGGACUCGCGGCUUAUCAGUUUGUUGGUGGGGUAGUGGCUUACCAAGGCUUUGACGGGUAGCCGGCCUGAGAGGGUGACCGGCCACAUUGGGACUGAGAUACGGCCCAGACUCAUACGGGAGGCAGCAGUGGGGAAUAUUGCACAAUGGGCGGAAGACUGAUGCAGCAACGCCGAGUGCGGGAGGACGGCCUUCGGGUUGGAAACCGCCUUCGCCUGUGACGAAGCGUGAGUGACGGUAAUGGGUAAAGAAGCACCGGCUAACUACGUG